Neoarius graeffei (lesser salmon catfish) is the source of this 453-nucleotide long non-coding RNA. RefSeq lists it as uncharacterized. The transcript is spliced from 3 exons. The record is from RefSeq and is a predicted model, not a curated record. Lineage: Eukaryota; Metazoa; Chordata; Actinopteri; Siluriformes; Ariidae.
AUAUUUUUUUUACAGUGUGUAAACUUCGGACGUGAGAGAUUGCAGCCCUGCAAGGACUAGGCUACUGCAAAGAGGCGAAGCAACAUAGAGAGAGUAAGGAAGAUGAAGAUUAUGAAAGAGGAGAGAGAGCCAGAGGUGGAGAGCCAGAGGUGGUGGUUGGAGAAGUGGAAAGUGAGGCAUCUGAAAGGCAAUCUGAGAGUGAGGAUGAAGACAUUCAGGAUCAGAUUGAGGGACAGAAUGAGGGACAACCCAACAAGUCAUUGGGACAACCAGAUUCACCAUGCAUAUCAAGUACAGCACCAUCAGAUAUCAGCAAGUGCUUGGACAACACUCCAGUGCAGCCACGUCUGAAGAAAAGGUUCAUUGUAUGCAAAAAUAGAAAUCUUGUUUUACAAAAAAGAGAAACAUGGUUUUAAGAUUUACUGAGCACAAUUAUUUUAUGUUUAGGCUAUU